Molecule: ribosomal RNA, 253 nt
Filed under: uncultured bacterium
Lineage: Bacteria
Description: partial 16S ribosomal RNA
Rfam family: Bacterial small subunit ribosomal RNA
Source: RNAcentral
GACAGAGGGGGCAAGCGUUGUCCGGACUGACUGGGCGUAAAGCGCGCGCAGGCGGUCAGAGGCGUCGGUGCUCAAAGGCCACCGCUUAACGGUGGGAGGCGUGCCGAUACGCUCUGACUGGAGGGCGGGCGAGGGUGGUGGAAUUGCCGGUGUAGUGGUGAAAUGCGUAGAGAUCAGGAAGAACACCGGUGGCGAAGGCGCUCUGCUAGGCCGUAACUGACACUGAGGGACGAAAGCUAGGGGAGCGAAUGGG